UACAGAGGGUGCAAGCGUUGCUCGGAAUUAUUGGGCGUAAAGAGGAAGUAGGUGGUCGGAUUUGUCUGAGGUGAAAGCCUUCAGCUUAACUGAAGAAGGGCCUCAGAAACGGUCCGACUGGAGUCCUGGAGAGGGUCGUGGAAUUCCCGGUGUAGCGGUGAAAUGCGUAGAGAUCGGGAGGAACACCGGAGGCGAAAGCACUCUGCUGGGCCGACACUGACACUGAGAGACGAAAGCUAGGGGAGCGAAUGGG
RNAcentral lists this ribosomal RNA (253 nucleotides) under uncultured bacterium. Its description in RNAcentral is "partial 16S ribosomal RNA". It matches the Rfam family "Bacterial small subunit ribosomal RNA", at positions 524 to 776 of the family's 1533-position model. The record is from RNAcentral.